This 769-nucleotide long non-coding RNA is filed under the name Mus musculus (house mouse). Its description in RNAcentral is "RIKEN cDNA 5530601H04 gene". The record is from RNAcentral. Lineage: Eukaryota; Metazoa; Chordata; Mammalia; Rodentia; Muridae.
CUGUUCUUGUUUAUCGGUUUGUACGGAACUUCACCCGCGGUAGAGUACGGCCUGAGAAUUUUGUUCCAGCACCGGUGUGAGGAAAACAUCUGAGCCCAUGAAUUGCCAGACCCUGGAUACCUGAGACACAUCCACUUGCUUCUCAGAUUGGACAUCUGUGGGCUUCCCUUUGCUAUGACGUUUGGAGUGCAUAAUGAGGAGAAAUAAAAACAGAAAGAUCUCCAGAAAGAAGCCAUGGGUGGAGAACAGAGGGCGACUAGAUUAAAUGGAAAGAAUGCCCAGGCAUCCCAUUGCCUCCCUUUGACGUUCCAGAACUUCAUCAAGACAGUGAUGAGCUACAUGUACACCUGGAGGAGGACCAUGCAGAAUACCAUCCAGCGCCAUGAACACUAGUCAGUCAGUCAGUAAUGGUGGGCUUCUUGGUGUGCUCCAGCUCAAUUUUCUCAUGUUUGAUGAUUAGUUCAGGAUCAAGCUCAGAAGCGCACAGCUGCCAGCAAGCAGUCUACUACUGAACUGCACCAUCUCUCCAGCCUGUGCUUACUCUUGAAUAGCCCCAAAGUAGUCAAUGGUAUGGCAAAAUAAACCUCCAUUUCAUUUAGAUUUUUAUAGUAUUUUUUGCCACUUAAAUUAUUUUAUGUAGUUGAGUAUGAUUUUUUUUCCCCCUAAGGAAUUCUAUGUAUCUCAAUUUCAAGAGUCUUCAGCCUUUAUGUUAUACAUAAUUUCCUAUAGAUUUCAAAGUUGCUUUAAUAAAAAGUUUAAUGUUAAAACA